UGUCGUCAGCUCGUGUUGUGAAAUGUUGGGUUAAGUCCCGCAACGAGCGCAACCCUUAUCCUUUGUUGCCAGCGGUCCGGCCGGGAACUCAAAGGAGACUGCCAGUGAUAAACUGGAGGAAGGUGGGGAUGACGUCAAGUCAUCAUGGCCCUUACGACCAGGGCUACACACGUGCUACAAUGGCGCAUACAAAGAGAAGCGACCUCGCGAGAGCAAGCGGACCUCAUAAAGUGCGUCGUAGUCCGGAUUGGAGUCUGCAACUCGACUCCAUGAAGUCGGAAUCGCUAGUAAUCGUGGAUCAGAAUGCCACGGUGAAUACGUUCCCGGGCCUUGUACACACCGCCCGUCACACCAUGGGAGUGGGUUGCAAAAGAAGUAGGUAGCUUAACCUUCGGGAGGGCGCUUACCACUUUGUGAUUCAUGACUGGGGUGAAGUCGUAACAAGGUAACCGUAGGGGAACCUGCGGUUGGAUCACCUCCUUA
Molecule: ribosomal RNA, 483 nt
Filed under: Escherichia coli
Lineage: Bacteria; Pseudomonadati; Pseudomonadota; Gammaproteobacteria; Enterobacterales; Enterobacteriaceae
Also listed under: 33 other names
Description: bacterial SSU rRNA
Rfam family: Bacterial small subunit ribosomal RNA
Source: RNAcentral